Molecule: transfer RNA, 95 nt
Filed under: Ralstonia wenshanensis
Lineage: Bacteria; Pseudomonadati; Pseudomonadota; Betaproteobacteria; Burkholderiales; Burkholderiaceae
Description: tRNA-Val
Source: RNAcentral
GGCAUGUUGGGCGCCGACGUUGGCUAUGGCGCGUACGCCGCCGGCACCGCAGCAACCGCUGCGGGGGCGACCGGUGCGGCUGCGGCAGGUGCCGC